UACGGAGGGUGCAAGCGUUAAUCGGAAUUACUGGGCGUAAAGGGUGCGUAGGUGGUUAAGUAAGUUAUCUGUGAAAUCCCUGGGCUCAACCUGGGCAGGUCAGAUAAUACUGUUUAACUCGAGUAUGGGAGAGGGUAGUGGAAUUUCCGGUGUAGCGGUGAAAUGCGUAGAGAUCGGAAGGAACACCAGUGGCGAAGGCGGCUACCUGGCCUAAUACUGACACUGAGGCACGAAAGCGUGGGGAGCAAACAGG
RNAcentral lists this ribosomal RNA (253 nucleotides) under uncultured bacterium. RNAcentral's name for it is "partial 16S ribosomal RNA". It matches the Rfam family "Bacterial small subunit ribosomal RNA", at positions 524 to 776 of the family's 1533-position model. The record is from RNAcentral.